Molecule: ribosomal RNA, 734 nt
Filed under: Simplicillium lanosoniveum
Lineage: Eukaryota; Fungi; Ascomycota; Sordariomycetes; Hypocreales; Cordycipitaceae
Description: LSU rRNA
Rfam family: Eukaryotic large subunit ribosomal RNA
Source: RNAcentral
AAAUUUGAAAUCUGGCUCCUAGAGCCCGAGUUGUAAUUUGUAGAGGAUGCUUUUGAUGCGGUGCCUUCCGAGUUCCCUGGAACGGGACGCCAUAGAGGGUGAGAGCCCCGUCUGGUCGGAUGCCAAAUCUCUGUAAAGCUCCUUCGACGAGUCGAGUAGUUUGGGAAUGCUGCUCAAAAUGGGAGGUAUAUGUCUUCUAAAGCUAAAUAUUGGCCAGAGACCGAUAGCGCACAAGUAGAGUGAUCGAAAGAUGAAAAGCACUUUGAAAAGAGGGUUAAAUAGUACGUGAAAUUGUUGAAAGGGAAGCGCCUAUGACCAGACUUGGGCCCGGGAAUCAUCCAGCGUUCUCGCUGGUGCACUUUGCCGGGCACAGGCCAGCAUCAGUUUGUCUUGGGGGAAAAAGGCUUUGGGAACGUGGCUCCUUCGGGAGUGUUAUAGACCAUUGCAUAAUACCCUGGGACGGACUGAGGUUCGCGCAUCUGCAAGGAUGCUGGCGUAAUGGUCAUCAGCGACCCGUCUUGAAACACGGACCAAGGAGUCGUCUUCGUAUGCGAGUGUUCGGGUGUAAAACCCCUACGCGUAAUGAAAGUGAACGCAGGUGAGAGCUUCGGCGCAUCAUCGACCGAUCCUGAUGUUCUCGGAUGGAUUUGAGUAAGAGCAUACGGGGCCGGACCCGAAAGAAGGUGAACUAUUCCUGUAUAGGGUGAAGCCAGAGGAAACUCUGGUGGAGGCUC